This is a non-coding RNA of Drosophila bipectinata, 1076 nucleotides long. The record is from RefSeq and is a predicted model, not a curated record. NCBI's taxonomy places the organism in Eukaryota, Metazoa, Arthropoda, Insecta, Diptera, Drosophilidae.
GACAUCGUGCGUUUUCUCUAAAAUUGUGUGACAUGUGAAAAAUUGUGAAAAUAAAUUAACUUUAAUAACUUCAAUUUUAAAAAGUAUGUGCAAGAAACUAAUAAAGGUGCUACACCAGGCAACUGAAGAACCCUUGAACGUGUGAAAUCCUGGCGAAUGCUGGUGCAUCCGCGGAGGCUCACCUGCGCAGAACCAAACUCUUCCGUAAGCUGAAGUCAUCCCCUUCCAGGGUAUGACAACUACGAGAGUAACGAGAUUAACAAGCUGCAACUACUAGGCGAGGCAACCAGUCAGACCAGGCAAGGAAAAUCUAGAGUCGUGGCAGGAGACUUGGAUUGACAAGCGACCCAGGCGCAUUAUAAAACUUGAGUACCAUGGACCACCCUGCAAUUGGAAUCGACUCAAUUGUGUGUAGGCUCCAUGGUUCAGCAACUUCAGGGGAUCCGAUUCCGAUCAGAUGGAGUCUCACAACCAUGUCCAAUCAUCCACUGAAAAUGGGGGGCGGCACGGAAGCUGUUUUUGUGGCAAGAAAAAAAAAUGGCGUUUGUGGAUUGGGCCUGGUCUAACAUCCAGCUUUCAAGCCAAAACCGCAAAAACAACAAGGCAUUUGAUGGCCAAAUGUACCUCUACCGCAUACAACUGCCAUGAAUCACCAUCACCUGGUUGAAUGGAACGGAACGGAUCGGAUGGGAUCAGUGGUUCUGGUUUGGGCAGUGGCUUCGCCUCCGGCAGAGGAGGAACAUCCAUCAAUGUGCCGUUGACAUUGGCUUGGACCGCUGACAAGAAUUGUCACAAUAAACAAUACAACCACGACGACAACGACAACAACAAGAAUAAUACCAACGACAAGGCAGCGAAGAGGACACGUGACGGGAUCUGGAAGGGAGACCAAAUUCGGGAUGGGACUCGGAAAACAGGAGUUGGUAAAGGAAUCAGCCUGAUGAUUAGUUCGUUUCGUUUCAGACUCCUGUAAAUCUUCAAGGAUUCUGGAAGUAUUCAAGGGAUUCAAGUUUGUGAAACUCUUCAAAGAUGUUGGGAAGUAUUAGUUUCUUUUAUAUUUUUAAAAAUAUUUCCUU